This 215-nucleotide long non-coding RNA is filed under the name Lathyrus oleraceus (garden pea). Its description in RNAcentral is "Pisum sativum (pea) long non-coding RNA (PSAT_LNC035709)". The record is from RNAcentral. Lineage: Eukaryota; Viridiplantae; Streptophyta; Magnoliopsida; Fabales; Fabaceae.
AAUUAAUGAGCUCUUGAUCCAACGCCUCACACUUUUUCUCAUUUUUAAUUUCUGAUUUUAAUUUCCAUUUAAUUUCUUUUAUUCCAUUGUUUUCAAAAAUUCAUAUCUUCUUCAUUUUAAAUCCAAAAAUUAUGGGACCAAUUGCAUUAGUCUCCAAAUAAAUUCUAGUUUCUAUUUCUGAUUUUUAAUAUUUUUUAUUUUAUCAUUUGAUAUUU